RNAcentral lists this ribosomal RNA (258 nucleotides) under Triticum aestivum (bread wheat). RNAcentral describes it as "partial small subunit ribosomal RNA". Lineage: Eukaryota; Viridiplantae; Streptophyta; Magnoliopsida; Poales; Poaceae. The record is from RNAcentral.
AUGGAGAUCUGCCUGCGGGGCCUGACCAAGGAACCAACGCUGAAGCCGUUAGACGAGGACGUGCUCUGGAACCUGCAGUUUGCAGCCCUGUUUGUCACUUGCACAUCUAAAUUCGUACUUUGGAAUGAUGAUCAGAAAUUGCAACUGCUGAGAAAAAAUAUUGGCAAGCAUUACCAUUAUGAUCCUCCAUCGAUCAUCAUUGUUGAAGGAAUUUCUGUUUCUCUUCAUAUAGGAUACAGAUAUGUGAUUCUCAUGUGA